RNAcentral lists this ribosomal RNA (294 nucleotides) under Staphylococcus sp. HMSC076E07. RNAcentral describes it as "partial 23S ribosomal RNA". It matches the Rfam family "Bacterial large subunit ribosomal RNA", at positions 1174 to 1471 of the family's 2925-position model. The record is from RNAcentral. Lineage: Bacteria; Bacillati; Bacillota; Bacilli; Caryophanales; Staphylococcaceae.
ACCGGGGCUAAACAUAUUACCGAAGCUGUGGAUUGUCCGUAGGACAAUGGUAGGAGAGCGUUCUAAGGGCGUUGAAGCAUGAUCGCAAGGACAUGUGGAGCGCUUAGAAGUGAGAAUGCCGGUGUGAGUAGCGAAAGACGGGUGAGAAUCCCGUCCACCGAUUGACUAAGGUUUCCAGAGGAAGGCUCGUCCGCUCUGGGUUAGUCGGGUCCUAAGCUGAGGCCGACAGGCGUAGGCGAUGGAUAACAGGUUGAUAUUCCUGUACCACCUAGCAUCGUUUUAAUCGAUGGGGGG